This 408-nucleotide ribosomal RNA is filed under the name Aplanochytrium stocchinoi. RNAcentral's name for it is "partial Bacterial small subunit ribosomal RNA". It matches the Rfam family "Bacterial small subunit ribosomal RNA", at positions 486 to 891 of the family's 1533-position model. The record is from RNAcentral. Lineage: Eukaryota; Bigyra; Thraustochytrida; Thraustochytriidae.
AGAAGCACCGGCCAACUACGUGCCAGCAGCCGCGGUAAUACGUAGGGUGCGAGCGUUGUCCGGAAUUAUUGGGCGUAAAGGGCUCGUAGGCGGUUUGUCGCGUCGGGAGUGAAAACGCCGUGCUUAACACGGCGCUUGCUUUCGAUACGGGCAGACUAGAGGUAUGCAGGGGAGAACGGAAUUCCUGGUGUAGCGGUGAAAUGCGCAGAUAUCAGGAGGAACACCGGUGGCGAAGGCGGUUCUCUGGGCAUUACCUGACGCUGAGGAGCGAAAGUGUGGGGAGCGAACAGGAUUAGAUACCCUGGUAGUCCACACCGUAAACGUUGGGCGCUAGGUGUGGGGUCCAUUCCACGGAUUCCGUGCCGCAGCUAACGCAUUAAGCGCCCCGCCUGGGGAGUACGGCCGCAA